GGCGGCAUAGCCAAGUGGUAAGGCACGGGACUGCAACUCCCUUACCCCCAGUUCAAAUCUGGGUGCCGCCUCCA
This 74-nucleotide transfer RNA is filed under the name Alkalibacter saccharofermentans DSM 14828. RNAcentral describes it as "tRNA_Cys_GCA". It matches the Rfam family "tRNA". From Rfam's summary of the family: Transfer RNA (tRNA) molecules are approximately 80 nucleotides in length. Their secondary structure includes four short double-helical elements and three loops (D, anti-codon, and T loops). The record is from RNAcentral. RNAcentral also lists the same sequence under 1 other name. Lineage: Bacteria; Bacillati; Bacillota; Clostridia; Eubacteriales; Eubacteriaceae.